GACAGAGGGUGCAAACGUUGUUCGGAAUUACUGGGCGUAAAGCGCGUGUAGGCGGCUUUGCAAGUCGGAUGUGAAAUCCCACGGCUCAACCGUGGAAGUGCAUUCGAAACUGCAAGGCUAGAGUCCUGGAGAGGAAGGUGGAAUGCUUGGUGUAGAGGUGAAAUGCGUAGAUAUCGGGAGGAACAUCAGUGGCGAAGGCGGCCCUCUGGUCCAGUACUGACACUCAAGUGCGAAAGCGUGGGGAGCAAACAGG
This 253-nucleotide ribosomal RNA is filed under the name uncultured bacterium. RNAcentral describes it as "partial 16S ribosomal RNA". It matches the Rfam family "Bacterial small subunit ribosomal RNA", at positions 524 to 776 of the family's 1533-position model. The record is from RNAcentral.